GGCGGAAGGUGCAAGCGUUGUUCGGAAUCAUUGGGCGUAAAGGGCGCGUAGGCGGGAAGAUAAGUCACAUGUGAAAGCCCCGGGCUUAACCCGGGAAGUGCAUGUGAUACUGUUUUUCUUGAGUGUCGGAGGGGAAGAUGGAAUUCAAUGUGUAGGAGUGAAAUCCGUAGAUAUAUUGAGGAACAUCGGUGGCGAAGGCGGUUUUCUGGCCGAACACUGACGUUGAGGCGCGAAAGCGUGGGGAGCAAACAGG
RNAcentral lists this ribosomal RNA (253 nucleotides) under uncultured bacterium. Its description in RNAcentral is "partial 16S ribosomal RNA". It matches the Rfam family "Bacterial small subunit ribosomal RNA", at positions 524 to 776 of the family's 1533-position model. The record is from RNAcentral.